UACGGAGGGAGCUAGCGUUGUUCGGAAUUACUGGGCGUAAAGCGCACGUAGGCGGCUUUGUAAGUUAGAGGUGAAAGCCUGGAGCUCAACUCCAGAAUAGCCUUUAAGACUGCAUCGCUUGAAUCCAGGAGAGGUGAGUGGAAUUCCGAGUGUAGAGGUGAAAUUCGUAGAUAUUCGCAAGAACACCAGUGGCGAAGGCGGCUCACUGGCCCGGUACUGACGCUGAGGUGCGAAAGCGUGGGGAGCAAACAGG
RNAcentral lists this ribosomal RNA (253 nucleotides) under uncultured bacterium. Its description in RNAcentral is "partial 16S ribosomal RNA". It matches the Rfam family "Bacterial small subunit ribosomal RNA", at positions 524 to 776 of the family's 1533-position model. The record is from RNAcentral.